AUUGAACGCUGGCGGCAUGCCUUACACAUGCAAGUCGAACGGCAGCACGGGUGCUUGCACCUGGUGGCGAGUGGCGAACGGGUGAGUAAUACAUCGGAACAUGUCCUGUAGUGGGGGAUAGCCCGGCGAAAGCCGGAUUAAUACCGCAUACGAUCUACGGAUGAAAGCGGGGGACCUUCGGGCCUCGCGCCAUAGGGGUGGCCGAUGGCUGAUUAGCUAGUUGGUGGGGUAAAGGCCUACCAAGGCGACGAUCAGUAGCUGGUCUGAGAGGACGACCAGCCACACUGGGACUGAGACACGGCCCAGACUCCUACGGGAGGCAGCAGUGGGGAAUUUUGGACAAUGGGCGAAAGCCUGAUCCAGCAAUGCCGCGUGUGUGAAGAAGGCCUUCGGGUUGUAAAGCACUUUUGUCCGGAAAGAAAUCCUUGGCCCUAAUACGGUCGGGGGAUGACGGUACCGGAAGAAUAAGCACCGGCUAACUACGUG
RNAcentral lists this ribosomal RNA (486 nucleotides) under uncultured bacterium. Its description in RNAcentral is "partial 16S ribosomal RNA". It matches the Rfam family "Bacterial small subunit ribosomal RNA", at positions 30 to 507 of the family's 1533-position model. The record is from RNAcentral.